Unclassified non-coding RNA from Cavia aperea (Brazilian guinea pig), 279 nucleotides. Its record names the gene 7SK. It matches the Rfam family "7SK RNA". From Rfam's summary of the family: 7SK was discovered as an abundant small nuclear RNA in the mid-70s but a possible function has only recently been suggested. Two independent studies have found that 7SK RNA binds the CDK9/cyclin T complex (known as elongation factor P-TEFb). The record is from Ensembl. Lineage: Eukaryota; Metazoa; Chordata; Mammalia; Rodentia; Caviidae.
GGAUGUGAGGGUGACCUGGCUGUGGUAUCCUGGCUGUGGCUGGCUAGGUGGUGGUCCCUUCCUCCCUCACCACUCCAUGUGCAUCCCUCCGGAAGCUGCACGCUUGGUCAGGAGGAUGACCACCCCUGAAGACCACUUCCUUAGUCAAGAUAUAGAAGUGGUUACGCUCUCUUGCUAGAACCUCCAAACAAGCUCUCCAAACUUCAGAACUACUAAUGCAGUAAAAUUUAAGGGACAAGAAAACAGAAUUUAAGUACUUUUGGAAAAAUGUAACAAUCA